This 720-nucleotide long non-coding RNA is filed under the name Sarcophilus harrisii (Tasmanian devil). RNAcentral describes it as "lncRNA (ENSSHAG00000027487.1)". Lineage: Eukaryota; Metazoa; Chordata; Mammalia; Dasyuromorphia; Dasyuridae. The record is from RNAcentral.
ACAUCUGAACUGGAAAAACAAAAAUAAGAACAGGAAAUGAAAAAGAAACUGAAAGAGCCACUAAUACUGUGUAUGUCAACAGAGGGAAAAUCGAUCUGCAGCAUAAUUCACCAAAUGAGCAAAGCCAGGACCUAGAAAAGCUAAAAUGGAACAACGAAUCUAUCCCUUCUCAUUUUGGGGAAGAUUCUCCUGCAGCUAUGUUCUGAAUUCUUUUACUGCCAAAACUCAUGUCCUCUGGUUGUCUGGCUGGGAGACUCCUCCUUCCAUCUGAACUAUGGAAGACCUUUGGUGGUUCUUAUAACCACUGUAGGAACCAUCCUUUAGUACAGGAUUUUAAAUCUCAAGAGCUGUAAGGGACCUACAAGAUCACCUAGAACUCAUAUUUGACCAGGACAGUAUUGUUAACAAGAGGCCACCUAACAAGCAAACUCUUAUUGAGAAAGGACCAUUACAGAAUUAUGACCUUUUGGGGCAUUGAAGUGGACCAGUUACCUACAGAACUUGAGUGUAUGGUAGAGCUAGAAGUGAGAGAAGUAUUGGUAGUGUCACGGUAAUCAUAAAGGGGCCACAUUUGAUGGAGAGAACAGAGAAGAAUGCCGACUGCUGGAAACAGCUUCCAAGACAAGGCCGAUUGCUUUUCUUCCAUAAUCUAGGAAGCUGAGAAAGCUAGAGAAGUGAAAUUUCCUGAGUGGAAAAGCUCCUGGAGAAAGAGAAUCUUCA